Molecule: ribosomal RNA, 442 nt
Filed under: uncultured bacterium
Lineage: Bacteria
Description: partial 16S ribosomal RNA
Rfam family: Bacterial small subunit ribosomal RNA
Source: RNAcentral
CCUACGGGAGGCAGCAGUGGGGAAUAUUGGGCAAUGGGCGCAAGCCUGACCCAGCAACGCCGCGUGAAGGAAGAAGGCUUUCGGGUUGUAAACUUCUUUUAUGAGGGAAGAGCAGAGGACGGUACCUCUUGAAUAAGCCACGGCUAACUACGUGCGAGAAACCACGGUAAUGCGGAGGUGGCAACCGUUGUCCGGAUUUACUGGGGGUAAAGGGCGUGUAGCCGGGCUGACAAGUCAGAUGUGAAAUCCCGUGGCUCAACCACGGAACUGCAUUUGAAACUGUGGGUCUUGAGUAUCGGAGAGGCAGGCGGAAUUCCUAGUGUAGCGGUGAAAUGCGUAGAUAUUAGGAGGAACACCAGUGGCGAAGGCGGCCUGCUGGACGACAACUGACGGUGAGGCGCGAAAGCGUGGGGAGCAAACAGGAUUAGAUACCCUUGUAGUC